Toxotes jaculatrix (banded archerfish) is the source of this 5168-nucleotide long non-coding RNA. RefSeq lists it as uncharacterized. The transcript has 8 exons. The record is from RefSeq and is a predicted model, not a curated record. NCBI's taxonomy places the organism in Eukaryota, Metazoa, Chordata, Actinopteri, Toxotidae.
CAAAUCCACAGAAAGAAAAUAGUUCUGUUACAUAUAUAUGAGAGAGAGAAAUGACGACAACCUUUAUGCUACAUGAUGAAAACUUAUGCCAGUUUUUGUCCAGUGUUAGCUGUAAGUGCAUGUGUUCUUCUGUGGAUGGCAUCUCAUCGGCAGCAGAAUGGACUGUGGGAUUCAUUUUAUUAGUUAACUGCCAGACACAAGACGUCUCCCACUUCACUGAAGAGCCCGUUCUCGGUGUAUUUGCUUUGGAGGCUUCAACUUUCCUCAUCACAGUUGUGCAAGUUGCUUUCUGGACCAUAAAAGGCUGUAGACUGGUUAGAAUACAAAACCCUGUUGGUAUGUCCAGGUGUUAAACUGGGAUUUAAGCUGAAAGAAGCUUUCUCUCUUCAACAGAUGAAUGUGAAAACAAAUUCGGCACAUCCAUCAUUCUGCACAGUGAAGCUCAUACAUCGCAAUGAGGUAGCUCAAAGAAAAACACAUUUCUGAGUUCAGCUUUUAGAGUUUCAUACACCAGCUAUACAAGGGGACAUCUGGAAUUAAUUUUAUCUGGAAACUAAAUUGAACCAUUUGGCAACGGACCUAGCCUGUGUGAAACACAGCCAUGAUUUGAUCAUGGCUAACCUGAUCUCAUUCCGAUUCCAAUCAGUCUUCAUGGAUUUGCACCUGAUAUUAAGACACCUUUCUCCUUCCUCGUACGAAAAAACAAAAUGCUAUCUUCUGCUAUAACUGAUUAACAUUUCAUUUGUGCUGGUGAAAACACAGACUAUAAAAUUGCACAUCAACACAAUGGUGAUGGAGCAAGAUUAUUCCCUAAACCUACCGGGAAUCUGUCUGCAGGCAAUCAGUAAGACAAAGAUUACCUGCAGUGCCCCAUGAAAGCUUAAAAAGACUCCACAGUGCAAGUAACAAACACUAUCAAUCCGCAAACUGUGUUUUGAAUUUUUUUUUACCACCUCUCAUAAUUUUCUGUUUCUGAGUCUUAAUUCCAGAAGACGCCUUCGACUUAUCAUCACUGAACAGCUCCCUGUAGUCACUACCCAGACCUAUCCAGCCUCAAGCACCAGCCACUGCUGACGUAUCCACCUCUACCUCUGCUGCAGCGCCAGAGAUCCAGCCUGGUUGACACCAUGACCGGAGAGCUAUGAUGGUGAUCCUGACACUUGCUCCUCUUUCUUUAACUACAACCGAGCUACGACCCCUGUCCUUUUCCACUGAACUCUCUGUUGUCUCUUACAUGUCAGUCAGUCACUUUUUCUGGGGCUUUCUGGGAAGACUUUUGGACAUUGUACUCCAAGUUGGGAUGCUGCUAGCAGGUUGUUGGUACUCUGGCAGGAGAUCAGCUGGGUGACCGACCAUGUCUUUGUCGGACACUUUUAAGCAUCAGCUUGCACAAAUAGACCCACCGCCUGACUUUGAUUCCCUUGUUGCUCUAGCUGUUAAAAUUAACAGCCAUCUUUUCGAAAGAAAAACGCAAAAAAAAAAACAACCUGAGAGGGAGGUUCCUGUCCACCGGGGUCAACCUGUUCCCUUGCCACAGCUUGACCAACCUCCAGGUGCUGCAGUUGGCACCAGGGGAGAGGUUUUGGCCCCCCUUGCCAGGAGGAAGGAAUUCAUGCAGCUAGGAUGCACCACCUUUCUCCAGAGGAACAUCAUGCUGCCUGAAGGAAGGGAGACGCAUCAACCACCAGCAACUUGGACAUUUCCUGCUUCCACAGUAAAAGGUUGGACUCAGCAGUGAAGGGGGAGCUUCUGAUGAAUCAAAAUUCAUCCUCUUCAUUCUCCUCCUGAACUCAAAUGCAUGAUCACCUGGUCUCUCCUACUACUUCCUUGGAAUUAGCAGUCUUUGUGAAGAGAACUUUAUGGAUCAAGGACUAGACCAUCAGUUCCAACUACAGUUGGAGCCACUACCCAGCCCAUUGGUUACCAAGGUCUUGGAUGGCUAUCUCUCCUGACAUGAGCUUCACUGGACUCCAGAUCCACCGGCUGAAUUUCCUCUGCCUAAACUUCCAUCUGCCAAGGAAAUGUCAGCGGUUAUGCUAUCUCAGGAAGGAUGAUUCCAUUUUUCCAGUGAUCUGAUUGGUCAGUAGUCACUCUGCCGGCAGGUUUUGAUCUGGAGCUGCUCAGGACCGGGUUAGGGUUAGGGCUGGGGCAGCACAGGUGGUACAGACAUUGGUGAUCUGUCUGCAUACAGGUCCGCCUCCCCCAGAUGCCCCAUGGCCCUGCCCAGACUGUGCAGAAAAUCCAUAAUCAGCUGUGGGCACAGAACAGCAUGCAAAGAAAAGAGGGGCAACACACAGCGAGGCUGCAGCACUAUCCCCAAGAUAAUCAGCGUGUGUACCCUCCCACUCCCACCUGGUGUAUCUCCUGACCUGCUCCUGGGGGGGCUGAUGCCUGAGUGAGCAGGUCACUGGGGACAAUGACCUGCUGUCCUGUUCCCCAUCAGCUCCCUUGUGUCACCACUGCUGUAGCAGCACAGGCUUCACUGACUGGUGAAAAGAGAGGCAUUAUCCCAAAGCACAGCCAAACAGAAGGACACCAGGGAGCUACUGAACUGGCAGAAAACUCCAUGUGUGUUGUCCAAGGGGAAAAAAAAAAAAAAACAUUCGCUCAGCUAUCAAAUAUGAUGAGAAGUUCAUGGCCGACCUUAACAGUCCACUAUCUGCUGUUGACAUAAUUGUGUGUUUCGGUCAGCAAAAAAAAAAAUGGCAUUCCAGGGGACCUGGGACAGGGACAGCAAGUGAGUAUGUAAAAACCAUGAUAAUACCCAUUGUUUUCAUAUCUUUAAUUCAACAUAUUGUGUGAAUUACAACAUUACAUCCAUCUGUCUAAUGGUCUGUUGAAGCAUGGACUCCACAACAAAUUUCAGAUUAUCUGUGCAGCAGUGUCUUUGAGUGUCAGGGUUUUGGGGAAUAACAUUAAACUGGAUGAAGCAUAUGAGGAGUUAGUUUGUUCAGCUUUUUAAUCUUUUACUGCCCGAUAGAGAAGCUUAAAAUUGAAAUUCAGGGAGAGCGAAGGCCAAAAUAACAAACCGACCUGCCCUGACUACCACAGCAUCAAAUACAAAGGUUACAGGUCACAGAGAUAGGAGGAAAAAAGACAGCUGUCCCUUGCAGGACUUCCUAGCAAAUACUCCAAGGUAGGAGUUACAAUACAAAAAAAUAAACUACCUAAGAUAAUUAAUUGAUUAACCGAUAUCAUUAACCUGGCAACCACAAACCCCAGAGCCAUGGACCAAGUCUUGAGAUCAUAGCUCACAAUAGACAGACACCAGAGUGUAAGCUGGCAACAGAAAGUGGUCAGCGAGUGCAGCUCCUCAGCCCCUGCUGUGUGUGAUGAGGAGCAACACAGCAUUAUGUGAUAUAACACUUUCACUUAUAGCUAUCCUAACCACGUUUUAUGGUCUAGAAUUGAAUUUUUUUUUUUUAAAAACGUACAACCGUUGACAUUUUCCCCCUUUUAUUUUAUAUAUUUGUUUGUUUUGUUUUUAUAUUUAUUUUUUGCCCAUUAGUAUUUUGUAUAAUUUCCACACAGAAAGGAUGUCGGUGUGUACCUCUUGCAGCAGGAAGGUCUAGACACGACUGAGGCUGUUUUCAUCCUCAGCAUGAAUAAAACACCGUAUUCAACAAACAGCAGCAAUUUAGAGGCGUCCUUCAUCUGCCAAAUGUCAUUGAAACAGACACAAAACGACCACAUUUUAAACCCAAAGCAUCUCUGCUUGCAUUUCUCACUCACAGAUCAUUAAUUGCGACUGCAGGCUGCUGUUUAUUUAUUUAUUUCAUGACACAGUCGGAGCACAGUUUCUUUGAGCUGUCAUUCCCAGAGAAAAUGUAUGGCUUUACAGCCGAUACCUGUUCCUUUCGGAUCUGCUCAGGGCGUCUUUAUUUCCAUUUUCAUUUCAGGGUGUAAAUUAUCAUUUGGCAUUUUAUCAAGCAUUAUAUUUUCUUAAAAUUUUCUGGGAUACAUUAUUUCUUUUACUAAAGAAACCUGCCCAGAUUGACAGCGUAAGAUAGGGAUCACACGGCUUCAGACGAGACACAUAUAGCUUGGCAAAACAGGACCUGAGAGACACGAGAAAAAUAAAACGUGACUAUUUCAAACAAUUAUAUUCCUCAUAAAAUGUUGUAAACUCAGGGUGCACAGUAGAAAAAAAAACACAGCCUCAGUGUAACAUUAAUGCUGUACACCUAGGCGAUGUUUAGCACAUACAUGGGUGCCAGUACCUUUAUAAUUGCAAGGUGCAAUGUAAAACCCCCUUAUAGUUCAGGUGGAUUUAAGCACUGAAAUGUGUAAGGUAAGUUCCACUGCUGCAUUAAAAAUGUUACUUAGCUGAACAUGGGUUAAAUUCUUUGCUCAGAAUCACUGGAUGAGAUUUGACUGAGUUAAGUGAACUUCACAAAACAAGUUCAAUAGACUCAAGAGGGAAAGUUGAAUUGUUUAUUGACAGUCAGUUCUUCAUUUACCUUAACUUAUUGCUCCAACUGUUUAAGCCAUUUUCUACCUGUUAGUAUAAAGACAAUGUCCAAGGUUACUACCAGUGAGUUUAUUAAAUUUUAAGUGUUACAGGUGUAGGGACCAGCGGUGGGCGAUGAUCUACAGUGAAACAUUGUGGACAAGCUCCUACCCCAGGGCACUAGAUAAAAAGUUAAUGGGAGCAGACUCACAUGUCAGCAUUGUGCUAACUCAAGUACAAAAGACAACAUUAGUAGUGACAGCUCAGGGAUAGUUGAGACUUUUAACUGGAGACAUUUUGUUUUCUAAAGAUACUGACACAUGCAAAGCAGGGAUCAUUGUUGUUGUGAGUAAGGAGAGAGGAGAGCGGUUUGUCGUGCCGUAACUGUGAGUCCUGUGUCAUGGAUGCCACCAUCUCCUUCAUGCUUGGUGAUUUGCAAAGCUUUAGUUUCAAGAGUUUGGUAUGCACAAAAGCACAGAUGUGUGUGUGUGGUUAUUUUGGAGAGGCUUUGCAGUUAGCUGCACAUGAUUUAAUCAAAGCACCCACAGUUCAGCAUGUUUAAUGAUGCAUUUACUUCUGCCACGCUGUAAGUAAAUUAUUCAUGGAUUAAUGAAUGAAGUGAAACCCAGUAGCAGGUAAGCAGAGGUAGAAUGUAACUGCACAUUUACUCAAGUGCAUGUACUUGAGUAUUUCCAUUUUAUGCUUCUUAAUGUUUCAU